RNA transcript from Puntigrus tetrazona (Sumatra barb), 3306 nucleotides. It is a transcript of the gene named carboxyl-terminal PDZ ligand of neuronal nitric oxide synthase protein, with no coding region annotated. The transcript is spliced from 12 exons. NCBI's taxonomy places the organism in Eukaryota, Metazoa, Chordata, Actinopteri, Cypriniformes, Cyprinidae. The record is from RefSeq and is a predicted model, not a curated record.
GACGGAACUUUGCUCCGCGUGAAUUGCACCAGAGGUUGAAGAGAGCAACGCAAAUAAAAACCUGUCACUGGCAAUCCAGAAAUCACUCGCAGCGCCUCUUUUAAUAAACUUCUAGCCGAGGCACUCGAACGACUUGAGCCGAAGCCAGACUCGCAUAAACGCAGCUGAUGUCUGCGGGCUGAGAGAGGGGGAAAGAGAGGCGCCCAACCCAUUUCUUUUGUGCCGAAGCGCCUGUGAUUUCAUUCAGCUUUUCCCGGGCUGCUACUAUAAUGGGCUCCUUCGCUUUGAACCGCUCUUGUAUCCGCGACUCGUUUUCCGCCGGUUAAACCGGAGCCGCCUUUUUCUUUUUCUUUUUUUUUUGAGUUGGCAGCAGUUCGGGAACUGGCUGAUGAAAUUUCUCGCCGAGCAUCUGGACGGGUCCCAAUGAAAAUGCACGGGAGAAACAGGUACAACCUGGUGGACGAUGUGGCGGAUUCGCGGGUCCCGCUUCACAACGAGGAAGCGUAUCAACACGGAAUACACUUCCAAGCCAAGUAUGUUGGCAGCCUGGAUGUCCCGAGACCCAACAGUCGAAUGGAAAUUGUCGCUGCCAUGAGAAGAAUCAGGUACGAGUUCAAGGCAAAGAGCGUGAAGAAGAAGAAAGUGAGCAUAGUGGUUUCCGUAGACGGAGUCAAAGUGGUGCUGCGCAAAAAACCCAAGAGGAAAGAGUGGACGUGGGAUGAGAGCAAGAUGCUGGUUAUGCACGACCCCAUAUACAGGAUCUUCUAUGUAUCCCAUGAUUCUCAGGAUCUGAAGAUUUUCAGCUACAUUGCUCGUGAUGGAUCCAGCAACUCCUUCAGAUGCAAUGUGUUCAAGUCCAAGAAAAAGAGUCAGGCCAUGCGGAUAGUGCGGACGGUCGGUCAGGCGUUCGAGGUUUGCCAUAAGCUGAGUCUGCAGCACGCUGAGCUGAAUGCAGAUGAUCAGCCAGACGGCCCUGCAGACGGCCAGAGCGAUCAGUCUGGAGAAGAGCCCAGCCCUGAAGCUCGUCAGCUGACAGGGAUGGAGCGCGGGAUGGAGGAUGUCACCGCAACCGACUCGCAAUCCGCAAAACUCAGUGAGCAGGCUAUGGAUGACAUUCUCCAGAGUCUGUCGGAGCUCAACCUGGUGAAACCUGGACAAACCCUACAGUCUCUGCAAGACCUGGAGGGCGUCUCUCUCUACACGCUAUCCCCCAGCAGCCCUUGCUCUCCUUCUCUCACACCUUUGGCCACCCAACACCACCUCCAGUUACUCCAACAACAGCUGCUACAGCAGCAGCAACAAACACAGAUCGCCGUCGCACAGGUGCAGCUCCUGAAGGAUCAGCUGGCUGCAGAGACGGCCGCUCGUAUGGAGGCGCAGGCCAGAUCUCACCAGCUGCUGCUGCAGAACCGUGAUUUACUGCAGCACACAUCCCUGCUGGUGAAACACCUCAGCCAACUGGAGAUCAGAGUCGGUGGAGCCGCACAGAAAGAGGAAUCGCCAUGGAGUAGCGCGCCCCCUCGUUCUCUCUCUCUCAACUUGAAGAACCUCUACACCCCUCACUCAGACCAGCCCUUCACCUCCACUCCAGCAGGACAGCCAGAAAACCCUCCUGUUUCCUCCCACGCCGAGUCUUACCUCAAUCUGCUCAACCUGCGCAGUGCUUCCACCAUUACAGCCAAUGGGAAGCCAGCGAGUGCGAGAAGUGAAGCGGGGCUGGACGCAGCAAGAAGGGAAGUCGCAAAGCUUGAAACCCGGAAUUCAGCAGCACUUGAUGAGAGGUGCACGUGUGAGGAGCCUCCCCUUCUGAUUAUCCACUUCCUCCUGUAACAGCCUUCUUCCUGUUCUCUAAUCUUCUAACCCUCUCUGACGCUCUCUCUCCAUCUCAUGCCCUCACCUGACCUAUCCUCCUUUGUCUGAAAUCGCUGAUUUUUGUUUCCUCUCCGCUCCUCUCUUCUACACUUUACCAACCUCCUCAGGGGGACUGUGGGACAGAGAUAAGUGCACUCACGCACACACACACACACACACACACACACACACACACACAUGCAGAAUGGAGACUGUCUUAAAGAAUUGUGUACAAGCUCUUUUUGAUGAUUCAGCAACUGUUCACCACACAGACCCAUCUCCCUGCUGUGAUUUCCCUACAGUUCUGACCCAAUGUCCUGACCUGACAUGCCACGAUAAGUGAUAAAAGGCUUUCAUCCUUGUAUCAGAUGCUAAUUAUCUGAAAUCAUGACAAGCGUUUGGAUAUUUUAACUGAGUUCUGUUUUUAUAGUCCCACCUAGUGAAAUCUCAUUAGUCACAAAUCCACACGACUAUAGAUUUUACCAAAUUAUUUUUGGCUGGGUAUGUCAUGUUACAAAGCAGUAACGGUGGGAAGUUUUUCCCACUAAUUUGUUCAGUCUCUUGGUAUAAGUCCCAGAAGAUUAAUUUAGACAAUGUAUUAAGUGACACAGAGUCAUAUUAUAGUUUAUUAAAAUUUGCAUGCCAAAAAACUCUACAAUGCAGAAAUUUAAGCAUCAUAAAAAUGACAAGCAGAUCUUUUGUAUUUAUUUAAUAUAUUGUCUUCUACAUUCUGUAUAUUAGCAAAUGAUUAAAAAGACAAAAAAAAUCAUUUUAAUUUUGCUUUUACUUUUUAUACUAUGGCUUUGCUUUAAUUUUUUGUGAUUUUGUAACAUGCUUUUGUCAUUUUCAAAUUUCCGGAUUUAAUAUCAAUAUUUUUUUAGCUUUAGUUUUAAUACUAAAAAUAUGGAAGUUUAUCGCUGAGCUUAAAAUUAAACCAAAUACACAUUUCCCAAAUAAACGUAAAAAAUGUUUUAUUAGUUUUACUUUUGAACUAGCAUUAUGCCCCUGAUUCAGUCAGAAAGCGGACUAAAAAUAAAUGGUUCAGUUCAUUUUGAUAGUCCACUUUAGACAUUCUACUAACUGAAGGUAACUUUGGUAAUAAUUCUCAUUAAUUCGCAACUACAUUUCUACUGCCUGUCAGAGUAGACUGUUAGGGUAGGUUUAGGGUUAACAGAAUAAAUUGACAUUAACCCGCAAAGUUUUUGAUAGUGUGUCGUAUGUUGUGGAUUCAUCAAAAUAAAGUGUAAGUAGACACCAAGCAGGCAGUCUACUAAAGACUGCUAGUUACCUACUGUUAGUAUGUCUGAAGUGCACUUUAAUCUUUAAUGUAAAAGAUUUGCUCAAAAACACUGAUUUGUGCCCACUUGGUAAUGUACUGAACCUUUUACAAUGUACUAUUCCAUGUAAUUAUAAAAUAAUGUUCCACUGACUGGGAAAUUUUGUCUCCUUUGUGUG